AAGUUGCAAGAACUUUGAAGAGAGAGUUCAAGAGUACGUGAAACUGCUCAGAGGCAAACGGGUGGGCCCUCGAAAUCCUUCCGCGGAGGGAUUCAGUCGGAAGUGGUAAAGUCCGGGCCCGUUAACGACGGACCUAUAAAAAGCCGGACGGGACCGGGCCUCUACUGCGUCCGACGCACUUCCUUCCGCGCCACGGACGCCGCAACCGGUCGGGUAGCAGCGAGAGUCGGCCAUGAGGGUCCCCGCCGGCAGGUGGCCGGGGAACCUGCUGCUGUAGGUUUCCCCGGUCGUUAGCCAGGAGACACCGCGGCGCGACACCCGACCGAGGCCGAGGUUCCAGUUACUGGAACUAGCCGUGCCCUGUUCACGCAGCGGGGCCCACGUCACGCGCGUCGCCGCGCUGCAGCGUCACUCCGAGAGUGGUCUGCGUUCGGCGGACGCGGUUGGACUGGGAGUGCUCGCGGACAGGCGCCCACGGUCGGCGGCGAGCAGGUCGGUCACCCACCUGACCCGUCUUGAAACACGGACCAAGGAGUCUAACAUGUGCGCGAGUCACAGGGUCUUGCUCAGGCCCAGGGGCGCAAUGAAAGUGAAAUACUUGUCGGGACUCCGAGUCGGAUGCACCGACGGCCCGUCCGAACCGCCACGCGCGAUCGGGCGGAGUCGGAGCGCACACGUUGGGACCCGAUAGAUGGUGAGCUAUGCCCGGGCAGAACGAAGCCAGAGGAAACUCUGGUGGAGGUUCGCAGCGGUUCUGACGUGCAAUCGAUCGUCAGAC
This 778-nucleotide ribosomal RNA is filed under the name Physocyclus dugesi. RNAcentral describes it as "eukaryotic LSU rRNA". It matches the Rfam family "Eukaryotic large subunit ribosomal RNA", at positions 361 to 910 of the family's 3401-position model. The record is from RNAcentral. Lineage: Eukaryota; Metazoa; Arthropoda; Arachnida; Araneae; Pholcidae.